RNAcentral lists this ribosomal RNA (482 nucleotides) under uncultured bacterium. RNAcentral's name for it is "partial 16S ribosomal RNA". It matches the Rfam family "Bacterial small subunit ribosomal RNA", at positions 30 to 506 of the family's 1533-position model. The record is from RNAcentral.
AUUGAACGCUGGCGGCAGGCCUAACACAUGCAAGUCGAGCGGAUGAAGGGAGCUGCUUCUUGAUUCAGCCGGGGGACGGGGAGGUAUGCCUAAGAAUUCUCCCGGUAGUGGGGGGUUACGUCCGGAAACGGGCCCCAAUACCCCCUAACGUCUGAGGGAGAAAGGGGGGGAACUUCCGAACCUCCCCCAUCAAAUUAGCCUAGGUUGGAUUAGCUAGUUGGUUGGGUAAAGGCCUACCAAGGCGACGAUCCGUAACUGGUCUGAGAGGAUGAUCAGUCACACUGGAACUGAGACACGGUCCAGACUCCUACGGGAGGCAGCAGUGGGGAAUAUUGGACAAUGGGCGAAAGCCUGAUCCAGCCAUGCCGCGUGUGUGAAGAAGGUCUUCGGAUUGUAAAGCACUUUAAGUUGGGAGGAAGGGCAGUAAGUUAAUACCUUGCUGUUUUGACGUGACCAACAGAAUAAGCACCGGCUAACUUCGU